Molecule: long non-coding RNA, 216 nt
Organism: Toxotes jaculatrix (banded archerfish)
Lineage: Eukaryota; Metazoa; Chordata; Actinopteri; Toxotidae
Exons: 3
Source: RefSeq, a predicted model, not a curated record
GGAAGCUGUGAGGAAAGGUGUGGCUGUGGAAAGCUGGUCAUGAGAAGCUGCCGUACUGAUUUUUAUGUGUUUUGCACAGAGUAAUGCGGUAGCAGCUCAUUCGUUUUCUGGACGCUGUGAGGAAAGGUGUGGCUGUGGAAAGCUGGUCAUGAGAAGUUGCUGUACUGAUUUUUAUGUGUUUUGCACAGAGAAUAAAUCCUCCCGGUUAGCAAGGCA